CUGCCACAACGGCUUCCUGGCGUGGCAGGUAUACCCAACCGGAGCA
This 46-nucleotide non-coding RNA is filed under the name unclassified sequences. RNAcentral's name for it is "SAM-SAH-Weickhmann-2018 RNA". It matches the Rfam family "SAM/SAH riboswitch aptamer". The record is from RNAcentral.